RNAcentral lists this long non-coding RNA (1390 nucleotides) under Olea europaea subsp. europaea. The record is from RNAcentral. Lineage: Eukaryota; Viridiplantae; Streptophyta; Magnoliopsida; Lamiales; Oleaceae.
UUUUAUUUUUAUCAAUAUGAUUCAUAUGUGCAAUGCACUUUACACAAACCAUACAAGUUCUCAAAGUACAAGUAAGUUUUAAAUACAAACAUAACAAAAAAAUUAAAAUUUUAUUUAUUCUACUUAUUUUGAUGAUGGAAUUGGGUGGGUUCGAUUCCGUGGAGAACUCGUGAAUCCCAACCAAAAACCAUUUGAGCAAAUUAGGUCCAGUACCCUAAAAAAUUAACUUAAUUGAUUAAUACCAUGUUAAUCAAUUAAAUCAUUUCAUAACGUAAUUAAUACGGUAUAAAACUUCUCAAAAACUCAAACCCUUAAACAGAUGCAUACACAGAAACCCCAAACAAAAAUCCCAUCACUGAUCUUUCUGCAGCAGUAUUGUUUCCAUCUCUUAUUAAGCUAUCUCCUUCAGCUCCUUCAGUUUACCUGUGUUAACAUCUCUUUUGUCAUCCCACAGUCACGUGUUUCCUCCAAAGUCAACCCCUUCCAGAUGGAGUUCCGUUCUCCUAUUCUCAAUUUCUGAAAAAGCAUCUUCUUUUGUUCUCCCUACUUGGGGCUACGAAUCAACAAGAGGAUUGAAUGGUGGGUCAUCUGAUGAUUUGUCAAUUCCUCCAUUCUCUGAGCUCAUGAUGACUCGGAAAGAUAGAUGGUCUUUCGAUGGUGAAAACUUUGGCUUCAGUUGGGACAAAAUAACCAGAUUUGUUGGACGAAAUUUAGGGUCUCCUUUUAAUCUCCAAAGUUGUGUUUGUGCAAAGCUUUUAACUGAGAGAUCCUCGUUGGACAUCCAGAAAGUAAUAGCUACCAAUGAACUUGGUGUGGUUGCUGUUUUGACUUGUGGACAUGCUUACAUGCUGAAUGCUUGGAAUAAUGACACAUGAGAUGAAAAAAUACGACCCGACUUGCUCUGUCAAUACUUCUGGGGAGAAGCGGACCAUGAAGAUGAUUGAAAAGGCAAUCAAAGCUGUAUUGGAUUCAAAGGCCAGAAAGCGAUCUAGGAACCGUGUUGUUGACAGUGAUGAUCUCAUUUUGUUCGAUCAUCAUAAAUGCGGUUAGAAUGAAGGAAGCGGUCCCAAAAUGAGAUUCUUCCAUAUGUUGAUCAUUAUCUAAAAUUUUCCUAUACUUUUCUCUACAGAUUCUUCCACAGUUUCAUCUUUCUCUGUUGCCAUGUUUUGAGGGUUAACAUGAAGGGAGAUUUUUAUAAAUGACCUGCUACUAUUCAUUUUUGGUAAAAUGUCUAUAAUAUCCUUAAUGAAAGGAUUUGUUAUAUUUUACAUAAGAUAUCCUUAAUUUAUUGGGAUAGUUUUAAAUUCUUCUAUUUCUCUCAUUUCGAGUUUUAAUAUAUAAUUCCAUUCUUGGAUCUAAUAAAUUAGAAUAAUCUGUAAUAUAAUUGUCA